GACGAACGCUGGCGGCGUGCUUAACACAUGCAAGUCGAACGGAAAGGCCUGCUUUCCCUUGUGGAUUGCGGGUACUCGAGUGGCGAACGGGUGAGUAACACGUGGGUGAUCUGCCCCCAACUUGGGUAUAAGCCUGUGAAACUGGGUCUAAUUCCCGAUAGGACUGCAGGGUGGUGCCUGUGGUGGAAAACGAUUUUCUAGUGGUUGGGGAUGAGCUCGCGGCCUAUCAGCUUGUUGGUGGGGUAAUGGCCUACCAAGGCGGCGACGGGUAGCCGGCCUGAGAGGGUGGACGGCCACAUUGGGACUGAGAUACGGCCCAGACUCCUACGGGAGGCAGCAGUGGGGAAUAUUGCACAAUGGGCGGAAGCCUGAUGCAGCGACGCCGCGUGGGGGAUGACGGCCUUCGGGUUGUAAACUCCUUUCGACAGCGAGGAAGCCACAUGGUUGGAAGGGUGGUGACGGUAGUGGUAGAAGAAGCACCGGCUAACUACGUG
This 494-nucleotide ribosomal RNA is filed under the name uncultured bacterium. RNAcentral's name for it is "partial 16S ribosomal RNA". It matches the Rfam family "Bacterial small subunit ribosomal RNA", at positions 28 to 507 of the family's 1533-position model. The record is from RNAcentral.